GCCUUAUAUAAGUGCUGUAUGAGUGUUUGUCAUUAUUUUGUGACUAGUGUACAGGUCCUGAAGUUUUUUGGGUGGGGGUGACUAUUUGAAGUGUUCACUUCAAAAAUAGCUCUAAAAGUAUUUAGCCAGGCAGAAUAAAAGUCAGUUUCAGUUAUGGAAUGUUUUCUCUAUCUUUUCAGUGCUUGCUUUUGCCAUGACUUCCUCUCAGGGUUGAAUAACUGAAGUUCUUUGACAUCAUAGGCCUGUUUUAGUGAAGUACGUCAUCCUCCCAAGUGAUUUGGUUAGUAUUUUUCUCCUUGAAAACCCAUCUGGUCACUUUUUCAGUUGCGAUUUUUCUUUAAAGCUCUGG
This 349-nucleotide long non-coding RNA is filed under the name Homo sapiens (human). RNAcentral describes it as "non-protein coding lnc-DNAJC6-3:1". Lineage: Eukaryota; Metazoa; Chordata; Mammalia; Primates; Hominidae. The record is from RNAcentral.